GAAACGAUGCUAAGACUGGAUAGGAAAUAAAAAGGCAUCUUUUUAUUUUUAAAAGACCUUUUUCGGAAGGUAUGCUUAAAGAGGGGCUUGCGUCACAUUAGUUAGUUGGCAGGGUAAAGGCCUACCAAGACUAUGAUGUGUAGCUGGACUGAGAGGUUGAACAGCCACAUUGGGACUGAGACACGGCCCAAACUCCUACGGGAGGCAGCAGUAGGGAAUUUUCGGCAAUGGAGGAAACUCUGACCGAGCAACGCCGCGUGAACGAUGAAGUAUUUCGGUAUGUAAAGUUCUUUUAUUGAAGAAGAAAAAAUAGUGGAAAAACUAUCUUGACGAUAUUCAAUGAAUAAGCCCCGGCAAACUAUGUGCCAGCAGCCGCGGUAAUACAUAGGGGGCGAGCGUUAUCCGGAAUUAUUGGGCGUAAAGGGUGCGUAGGCGGUUUAAUAAGUCUAUAGUUUAAUUUCAGUGCUUAACACUGUCCUGCUAUAGAAACUAUUAGACUAGAGUGAGAUAGAGGCAAGUGGAAUUCCAUGUGUAGCGGUAAAAUGCGUAAAUAUAUGGAGGAACACCAGAGGCGUAGGCGGCUUGCUGGGUCUUUACUGACGCUGAGGCACGAAAGCGUGGGGAGCAAACAGGAUUAGAUACCCUGGUAGUCCACGCCGUAAACGAUGAGUACUAAGUGUCGGGAUUACUCGGUACUGAAGUUAACACAUUAAGUACUCCGCCUGAGUAGUACGUACGCAAGUAUGAAACUUAAAGGAAUUGACGGGACUCCGCACAAGCGGUGGAUCAUGUUGUUUAAUUCGAAGAUACACGAAAAACCUUACCAGGUCUUGACAUACUCUGCAAAGCUAUAGCAAUAUAGUGGAGGUUAUCAGGGAUACAGGUGGUGCAUGGUUGUCGUCAGCUCGUGUCGUGAGAUGUUAGGUUAAGUCCUAAAACGAGCGCAACCCUUGUCAUUAGUUGCCAGCAUGUCAUGAUGGGCACUUUAAUGAGACUGCCAAUGAAAAAUUGGAGGAAGGUGAGGAUCACGUCAAAUCAUCAUGCCCCUUAUGAUCUGGGCUACAAACGUGAUACAAUGGCUGUUACAAAGAGUAGCUGAAACGCAAGUUUAUAGCCAAUCUCAUAAAAGCAGUCUCAGUUCGGAUUGAAGUCUGCAACUCGACUUCAUGAAGUUGGAAUCGCUAGUAAUCGCGAAUCAGCAUGUCGCGGUGAAUACGUUCUCGGGGUUUGUACACACCGCCCGUCA
RNAcentral lists this ribosomal RNA (1246 nucleotides) under Candidatus Phytoplasma oryzae. RNAcentral's name for it is "bacterial SSU rRNA". It matches the Rfam family "Bacterial small subunit ribosomal RNA", at positions 154 to 1399 of the family's 1533-position model. Lineage: Bacteria; Bacillati; Mycoplasmatota; Mollicutes; Acholeplasmatales; Acholeplasmataceae. The record is from RNAcentral.